GAUGAACGCUGGCGGCGUGCUUAACACAUGCAAGUCGAACGGAAAGGCCCAAGCUUGCUUGGGUACUCGAGUGGCGAACGGGUGAGUAACACGUGGGUGAGCUGCCCUGCACUUCGGGAUAACCCUAGGAAACUGGGUCUACUACCGGAUAGGACCACAUUUUGGAUGGUGUGGUGGAAAGUUUUUGGGUGUGGGGUGAGCUCGUGGCCUAUCAGCUUGUUGGUGGGGUAAUGGCCUACCAAUGCGCCGACGGGUAGCCGGCCUGAGGGGGUGCACGGCCACAGUGGGUCCGAGGGACGGCCCAGACUGCGACGGGAGGCAGAAGUGGGGAAGAUUGCUCAAGGGGCGCCGGCCGGAGGCAGCGGCGCCGCGUGGGGGAUGCCGGCCUUCGGGUGGGAGAAUCGGUUCGGUAGGGACGAAGCGGUAUGUGACGGUACCUGGAGAAGAAGCACCGGCUAACUACGUG
This 466-nucleotide ribosomal RNA is filed under the name uncultured bacterium. RNAcentral describes it as "partial 16S ribosomal RNA". It matches the Rfam family "Bacterial small subunit ribosomal RNA", at positions 28 to 507 of the family's 1533-position model. The record is from RNAcentral.